UACGGAGGGAGCUAGCGUUGUUCGGAAUUACUGGGCGUAAAGCGUGCGUAGGCGGUGACUCAAGUCAGAGGUGAAAGCCUGGAGCUCAACUCCAGAACUGCCUUUGAAACUAGGUCGCUAGAAUCACGGAGAGGUGAGUGGAAUUCCGAGUGUAGAGGUGAAAUUCGUAGAUAUUCGGAAGAACACCAGUGGCGAAGGCGGCUCACUGGACGUGUAUUGACGCUGAGGCACGAAAGCGUGGGGAGCAAACAGG
This 253-nucleotide ribosomal RNA is filed under the name uncultured bacterium. RNAcentral's name for it is "partial 16S ribosomal RNA". It matches the Rfam family "Bacterial small subunit ribosomal RNA", at positions 524 to 776 of the family's 1533-position model. The record is from RNAcentral.